UAUAUAUUGAAAGUUGAUUACACCGUACGACCGACGGCGGGUUGGGUCCUGCCAACUAGACCCCUCCUCAUCCAGUCACCCAACAUCCGUAGAGACAGAUCAGCCACCACCACCAUCCCAGCAUGCGAAACUUAGUCCAUCAACUAGACAUCAUCUCCACACCUCAGCAGCAUUAGUAAACCUAGACCUCCCGAACAAUGUCGGGGUUCUGACCAGGAACCGAACCCGGAACCUUCAUAUACACAAAGGCGCCACCAGACCAGACCAAACAUUUGGAACCAUUUCUCAAUUUGUGCGUGUCAUACAUGUGCACGGCCCGAAAGCCACACCCUCCCUGCAUCACUGUACAUGAUCGUGCGACUUGCCGCCGGAGCAUCCCACAGGAGCGACUUUGUGUACCAUGUAUGAUGUGUGGGACAGGGGGGCAUAUCUUCACUCGUGGCCGCUACACGGCGAAACCCUGCCUUCCCCAGUAUUUCGGGGCAUCCUCACCUAGUCACAUGAGUCAACUUCUAAGUGGAUCAAUUAG
RNAcentral lists this long non-coding RNA (529 nucleotides) under Volvox carteri. RNAcentral describes it as "long non-coding RNA (VCAR_LNC000151)". The record is from RNAcentral. Lineage: Eukaryota; Viridiplantae; Chlorophyta; Chlorophyceae; Chlamydomonadales; Volvocaceae.